GACGAACGCUGGCGGCGUGCUUAACACAUGCAAGUCGAACGAUGAAGCCAGCUUGCUGGUGGAUUAGUGGCGAACAGGUGAGUAACACGUGGGUGAUCUGCCCCAAACUUUGGGAUAAGCCUGGGAAACUGGGUCUAAUACCGAAUAUGACCGAUACUCGCAUGGGUGUUGGUGGAAAGCUCCGGCGGUUUGGGAUGGGCCCGCGGCCUAUCAGCUUGUUGGUGGGGUAAUGGCCUACCAAGGCGACGACGGGUAGCCGGCCUGAGAGGGCGACCGGCCACACUGGGACUGAGACACGGCCCAGACUCCUACGGGAGGCAGCAGUGGGGAAUAUUGCACAAUGGGCGCAAGCCUGAUGCAGCGACGCCGCGUGAGGGAUGACGGCCUUCGGGUUGUAAACCUCUUUCACCAGGGACGAAGCGAAAGUGACGGUACCUGGAGAAGAAGCACCGGCCAACUACGUG
Molecule: ribosomal RNA, 464 nt
Filed under: uncultured bacterium
Lineage: Bacteria
Description: partial 16S ribosomal RNA
Rfam family: Bacterial small subunit ribosomal RNA
Source: RNAcentral